CCCACCUUGGCCUCCCAAAGUGCUGGGAUUACAGGUGUGAGUCACCGUGCCUGGCCCAGCAGAUACCUUUUUUCAUCUGCAGAAAUGUUGAUGUUCCAAGCAGAAAGGAAUUGUGACUAUACCUCUCGUGCAAGCCUGAAUCUAGAGGGUGCUCCACCUGUGGGGAUUCAGUCACUCUGCAGUGAUCCAGAAAGGCUAUCUAUAGGUGCACCCACACCAAGCUCCUGUGAGAGAAGCCCCAGUUAUUUCACAGUCGUGGAUGAGGGGGAAAAGUAGUUUCCUUUUCCAAGACUCUUCAUGAGCACCAGGUCUGCCUGUCUGCUGGAGUAGAGCUGCAAACUAUCCCAGCUGAGCCCAGCACUGCAACUGUGUCACUGCCGAAAGAAACUUCCCACCAGUGUACAUCCGGGAUCUGGGAUUCAAGGCUUGCCAUCUGGAUUCUUUUGUCUCACUGUGUGCUCCCUUAAUGUGGGGGACUCCCUCUUCGCUGGGGGGUAUGAGUCCCUGAGAGCCAUACUACUAUGACUACUGUUGUUCCUCACCCAGUGAGCCUGCCCCACAUUUCCGGCUGGUGCUGGGGAAUGUCUGCAGAGAGUGUGAUGUGACCUAUCUUCAGCCCUCUCAGCAGUGGGUACCAGCACACAUUCUGAUAGGGGUGGCAAGGGUUGGUUAUAGUCUUAGUUUAUUGGCUUUCUCAAAUUCUGGUUGUAAUAGUAAUGAACUGGUCCUGUGGACAGACUUGGGACCUUCUGGUUAGCCUGGGUGGUGCAGGCUGUAGUGAUAGCUCAGCUCUUGCACAGGUUUUCUCCUUCCUGGGAUUACAGGCGUGAACCAUGGUGCCUGGCUAUAGAUGUAUUUUUAAAAAGGAUGCUGUUUCUGUAUGUGAUGCUUUAGUUCCAGUAUUAUGCUUUCUAUACCUUCCUAUAAAAUCACUCCUCAAGGGAGAACAGAGGGAAGCCAUACCCCAUUCCAAACACCUACCCCUCUUUCCUAAUAAGACUAAUCACUAUGUAACUUCAUUCUGAUAAUGACAAGCCAAAGUUUCAUUAAUGUAUAUUUUUUACUUUAUUCUGUAAUAUGUUUGUAUUUGUUUUCACAUGAAAGUAAUAACAAAAAAGUGCUGUGCUUGUCCAGUUCUAUUCCACUAUAGGAUACACAUAUCUUAAGAAGACUUUAACUCUGGACGCUUUUGGUCUCAUUCAUCUGUUUAUGGAAAAUUAGCUAAGUGCCUUCUAUAUACUAAGUCCAAAUCUGUUUGUUGAACAGUGAACAAAAUAGGCUGACAUUUAUGUUUUCAUAGAAUUUACAUUCUAAUGGAGGGGGUUGCUGGUGGCAGAUUAGUGAGUAAAAUAUGCUGUGGGUAAAAUAGUGAUAAAUGCUAGGGCGUAAGAGUGUGUGUGUGCACGUGUAUAUGCAGAGGCUGAAGACAAUGUUUGUUCCUGUCCCAUCCCAACCACAAACCUGGUGGUAAUUAGGGCACAAACUUUACAUCAUUUAUCAUAAAAGUCACUAACUUUGAAUCACAGUGAGCUGGGUCCUACACUGCAUAGCAUCUGAAGAUGAAUGUGAGUCUUAGAUUACAGACAAUUUGCCAUACUUAAAAAGUUAUGGGCACCUGGAAAAAACAGUAACAGUAUACACACAAUUUUAUUUCUCACUUGUACAUCUCAUGAGUUUUCGUUCUGAAAAUGCAGAGAGAGAUUAGUACUAUCUUGUUCAUUAUCUGGAGAGCCCUUGCCAAAAUAUUGCCCACAAUUUCACUGUUUCAGCAUUUCUAGGGUUUUCAGAUGGCUUAUAUAAAUAAGCAGCUGCUGGUAGCCAUUGUCAGCUCAUUGUCUUGUUUUAGGCUUAGAGCCUCUGCCAAAAACAAACCCAAGGGACUGGUGGUAGGUUGGUUGAAGGCUUCAGGCCCUAUAUAUGCAGGAA
Molecule: long non-coding RNA, 1926 nt
Organism: Sapajus apella (tufted capuchin)
Lineage: Eukaryota; Metazoa; Chordata; Mammalia; Primates; Cebidae
Exons: 2
Source: RefSeq, a predicted model, not a curated record